GAGAGAGAGAGCAAACAGGAGAAUGAGGGUGCUUUGUUUUGGAACUUUCCAGUUCUGUGGGGGAAAAUUAGCAUGAGGCUGGUUGCCUGACCUGCAGCACCGCUUUAUGCGCAUGAGUAAUUAUUAUUUUUGCUAUUAUUUCUCUUUUGUCUCCCUGGACGACUAAAAAGGCGCUGCGUAAGCAGUAAACCCCGGGAUAAGGUCUAUAACGUGGUCCAAAGAACAGAUUUUCAGUCCCGGGGGUUGAAGGUAAACUCCGGAAAGCAGAGCCACAUUGAGCUGUUGCCACAGCAUGCGAGAACCGAAGGACCUCCGUGGGUCACCUCGGGACUGGAGGCCAAGGAAACGCAGCGUUGGAUGCUGGGGCGGGGCAUCAAGGCCAGACUUGGUUCCUUAAACUUUGACUUGAGUCUAAGUGCUGGCGAAGGAGCACUCGAUCCCAAAAUACCGGGGCUUGGAGUUGUGCAGAUGGCGCUCCGCUGGGGCAUCGUGUCCGUCGGCCUCAUCUCCAGCGACUUCACCACUGUGCCGGGCCCGCUGCCCCGCUCCGACCACCAGUCCUGUAGCCCUAGCCCUGGAGGGUCGGAGGGUCUUAUCCUCCGGCCGGCCGCACCUGCUCCAGCCCCGUGAGUCUGAUCCCGGCGUCCUCCGGGUGGUGGCGGUAGCGGCCCGCGAGCUGAGCCGGGCGCAGGGGUUUGCGCGGAAACACGGCGUCCCCAAGGCGUACGGCUCCCCUGAGGAGCUGGCCAAGGGCCCGAAUGUGGGUGAGUGGCGAGGGUGGCCGGCGCGUCGGCUCCGGGCUGCCCCGUAGGAAACGUGAGGCUCCCCGGGCUAGGGGCCCGCCCGAGGGGCACGAACGGAUUUGAUCUGUCGCGAUAUUCAAUCGAGUCAACCUUCCGCAUCCUUGUGCUUGCGAGGCAGGCGGUAGAACCACUGAACUAAAUCCUCGGCCCAAGUAACACUAUCUUAACAGAGUGGUGCUGCAAGAAAGAAGUUUGAGGUGUACUUCAUACUUAGAGUAUCAGGGAUCGAACACGGGACCUUGUGCUUGCAAGGCAGGCAUGGCGCCACUGAGCUAAGUCAUCUUCUACCUUAGAAGUGGCCUAUAUUGGCACUCAGCACCCUCAGCACAAGGCUUCGGUGCUGAUGUCUCUGGCAGUAGGCAAGGCUGUCCUGUGUGAGAAGCCCAUGGGUAUGAACGCUCCAGAAGUUCGCAAGAUGGUCUCAGAGGCCCAAACCCAAGGUCUCUUCCUUAUGGAGGUGAGGGCCUCAACCAACAUUCACUGUAGCACUGCUUGCCAUUACUAAACAUGGCCACCAGCAGACGUUUUUGGAGAACCAAGGCAUCUUCCACAGUCGAGAUGGCCACAGGAAUGGAGCAGGGUCAGUUGGGGGUAUAGUUGAAUGUACUGGCCACACCCAUUGAGAGCACAAACCAAAGUUCAGUGCUUGCCACUCUAACAGGCCAUGACUCAAAGACAAGUUGUUGAGGCAAAGAGAAAGAGUUGUUUGGAAAGCUAGCAAACUAAAGAAGAUGGAAGCUGACAUCAACCAAGACCAUCUUGUUUAGAGGUUGCAGGGAAAAGGCUUAUCUAGGGAGUUUUGUGGAAGUAGAUCCCAGUAGGAGGGCACCAAGGUAUUUCCAAAUUCCAGAGUAGUUACAGAUUAUGGGGUCUGCUGUUUUGUGUAGGUAACUGGAUGCUCUGGGUUCUGUAAAUCUAAAGAAAGUUACUGACCCAUAAGCACAGCAUUUAGGGAGGCUGAGAUGGGGGAUCAAGUCCUGCCCAGGCAACACAACAAGACUCUGUCUUAAAUUUGUAAGAAGAGUAGGGUUGGGUGUAACUCCAUUGGAGAGAGCCCCUGGUCAAUCCCUACCACAAGGAAGAACAGAGAAAGGAAAGGAGAGAGGGAGGAAGAAAGAAAGGGAGGGAAAAAGAAAGGGAGAAAGGAGGAAAGAAAAAAGAAAUUGAGUAGGAAGUCUCACGGCUCGUCUUUUUAGUUCCUUUUCUGAGGACUAGCUAAUUCUCCAGUGUACCUGGAUAUCAAAGGUAUCCUUUCCAUGGGGAAGAGGGGAAGAUAGCAAAAGGCAACUUUUCUCUGGAAGACCAGGGAAGAUAAAGAAAAGCAAUUUUUCCCGAGGACGGAGGACGGAGGAGUCACAUUCCCUGGAGAAGUUUUUAACCCAUUGUGUAGAGUGUGUCACCACAGCAAAGCUAAAACUAAUAGUGUAUCUUCCAGCUGUGUGACUCCUAAAAUCAGUGAUGGUUUGUUUGUUUUUUGAGACAAAAUCUCACUAUACGGUUUAGGCUGGUCUUGAACUCAUAGUGAUCCACCUGCCUCAGUGCCAUGCCCAGUAAAAUUAGUGAUUGGGGGGUGGGUGUUUUUUGGGGAGGUUUUUUGGUACCAGGUACUGAACUCGGGACCUUGCCCUUUCGAGGCAGGCAGCAGAAC
RNAcentral lists this long non-coding RNA (2451 nucleotides) under Heterocephalus glaber (naked mole-rat). Its description in RNAcentral is "lncRNA (ENSHGLG00000049013.1)". The record is from RNAcentral. Lineage: Eukaryota; Metazoa; Chordata; Mammalia; Rodentia; Bathyergidae.